CCUACGGGUGGCAUCAUUCGAGAAUCAUUCACAAUGGGGGAAACCCUGAUGGUGCGACGCCGCGUGGGGGCAUGAAGGUCUUCGGAUUGUACACCCCUUUCCUGUUUUCGCCCCUUCCCCCGCUCGUCCCCCAAGAGGCCGAGACGGCUAACUCUGUGCCAGCAGCCGCGGUAAUACCGCGGUCUCACGCGUUGUUCGGCCUCCCUGGGCGUCCCGCGGGCGUCGGCUGUUUCGUCAGUCGUGUGUGAAAGGCGCGGGCUCAACCCGCGGACGGCACAUGCUCCUGCGAGACUAGAGUAAUGGAGGGGGAACCGGAAUUCUCGGUGUAGCAGUGAAAUGCGUAGAUAUCGAGAGGAACACUCGUGGCGAAGGCGGGUUCCUGGACAUUAACUGACGCUGAGGCACGAAGGCCAGGGGAGCGAAAGGGAUUAGAGACCCCAGUAGUC
Molecule: ribosomal RNA, 446 nt
Filed under: uncultured bacterium
Lineage: Bacteria
Description: partial 16S ribosomal RNA
Rfam family: Bacterial small subunit ribosomal RNA
Source: RNAcentral